Molecule: ribosomal RNA, 804 nt
Filed under: uncultured bacterium
Lineage: Bacteria
Description: bacterial SSU rRNA
Rfam family: Bacterial small subunit ribosomal RNA
Source: RNAcentral
CCGGAUUUAUUGGGUUUAAAGGGUGCGUAGGCGGCUUUAUAAGUCAGCGGUGAAAUAUUGCAGCUUAACUGUAACAGUGCCGUUGAUACUGUAGAGCUAGGAUUAGGUUGCUGUGGGCGGAAUGUGUGGUGUAGCGGUGAAAUGCUUAGAGAUCACACAGAAUAUCGAUUGCGAAGGCAGCUCACAAAGCGUAAAUUGACGCUGAGGCACGAAAGUGUGGGGAUCGAACAGGAUUAGAUACCCUGGUAGUCCACACUGUAAACGAUGAUAACUCGCUGUCGGCGAUAUACAGUCGGUGGCCAAGCGAAAGCGAUAAGUUAUCCACCUGGGGAGUACGACCGCAAGGUUGAAACUCAAAGGAAUUGACGGGGGCCCGCACAAGCGGAGGAACAUGUGGUUUAAUUCGAUGAUACGCGAGGAACCUUACCCGGGCUCGAACGGUGCAUGAAUGUCAGAGAGAUUUGACAGUCCUUCGGGACAUGUAUCGAGGUGCUGCAUGGUUGUCGUCAGCUCGUGCCGUGAGGUGUCGGCUUAAGUGCCAUAACGAGCGCAACCCUUGUUGACAGUUACCAUCAGGUAAAGCUGGGGACUCUGUCGAGACUGCCACCGUAAGGUGUGAGGAAGGGGGGGAUGACGUCAAAUCAGCACGGCCCUUAUGUCCGGGGCGACACACGUGUUACAAUGGGAGGUACAGAGGGCAGCUAUCCAGUGAUGGAGUGCAAAUCUCAAAAACCUUUCUCAGUUCGGAUUGGAGUCUGCAACUCGACUCCAUGAAGUUGGAUUCGCUAGUAAUCGCGCAUCAGC